GUCACAAUCUUUAACAUUUUCCUCCAGGCUCAACACCUCUAUGCUUUCGGAAAUUACGAGGAGACGUUCGACAAUCUCUUCCAGGCUCAACAACUCCUCCAUAAUCGGCUGCACCAGAGACGGCAUGCUAAUCCUUUAGAGUUUCUCCAAAUCUGAAAAUCGUACAACCACUCCCAAAGCUUAAAGUCCAGAUGCAGAGAAGCCAUUGAAGAAACAAAGAAAAAGAUAGAUAAAGAAAAUUCAAUUCUAUGAGAAAAAGAAAACAUCCGAAAUCAAUAUCGAGAAUCGAAAAAAGUUGAAGCAUCCACACACUGCUGGCAAAACAAGUUCUACUCUAAUCAUCGAGGAAAAAAAGAAGGAAAUGAUUGAUACUUCAGAUACUCUAUCAAGAUGAAAUGGAGAGAAUACAAUCAACUCAAGAAAGUGAAGAUGGCAGUGAUUCAGUUGACGUGUUUGCAUCAGUCAUGGGACCUGAGCACCCAGGUCGGGUAAGAUUGUAUGGACGAGGAGUUAACAAGACUGUCUUAAAAAAAAUGAAAGAUUUUGGAUCCUCUGUAAAUGCUACUGAUGAGAGAAUGCAAUAAAAAAAUAGAGAAAAUGGAAGAGAGGAUGCAACAAAGAAUGCUGGAAAAGUUCAAUGCACAAAAGGAAGCUAUGGAACAAGAUAUUAUGAUGAACGUCGUUAUACGACUUCAACGUAUCAACCCCGAUUUGAGACUUGAUCCUGGCAUGCUAAUAUUCAAUGCUCGUACACUUGGAGAAGCUUUUUCUGCACAAGUUGUUAUUCAACCAAUCAAUCGUCCAUCUACUGGCAGUAACAAUCAAGGGUCGAUUGGAGAUGGGGUUCACGCUGGUUUUCAGCUGGCUUCUCUGCUGGGAUUUGCCGUAUUUUUGGGUUGGUUUUGGAAGUAGAAUUGCUGAAUUUUGCAGAAGCUUUGGGAAGGUGGAGUAUAUGAUGAAAUGGAAGACAGAGGCAGUGAUGAAGAUCUAGACCUUACUUAAGAGAAUUUUGAAUUGCUAUAGAUGCAUGUGGCGGUUUCUAGGAAUGUUUGUUAUUAACAUUUUAAAACUUUUAACUCUUGAAAUAUCAAAUGUAUGUACUUGGUAACAUUUCAUCA
Molecule: RNA transcript, 1118 nt
Organism: Nicotiana tabacum (common tobacco)
Lineage: Eukaryota; Viridiplantae; Streptophyta; Magnoliopsida; Solanales; Solanaceae
Source: RefSeq, a predicted model, not a curated record